RNAcentral lists this ribosomal RNA (253 nucleotides) under uncultured bacterium. Its description in RNAcentral is "partial 16S ribosomal RNA". It matches the Rfam family "Bacterial small subunit ribosomal RNA", at positions 524 to 776 of the family's 1533-position model. The record is from RNAcentral.
CACGUAGGGUGCGAGCGUUGUCCGGAAUUACUGGGCGUAAAGCGCACGUAGGCGGAUCGAUCAGUCAGGGGUGAAAUCCCAGGGCUCAACCCUGGAACUGCCUUUGAUACUGUCGAUCUGGAGUAUGGAAGAGGUGAGUGGAAUUCCGAGUGUAGAGGUGAAAUUCGUAGAUAUUCGGAGGAACACCAGUGGCGAAGGCGGCUCACUGGUCCAUUACUGACGCUGAGGUGCGAAAGCGUGGGGAGCAAACAGG